GGUCGCCUGUUUAUCAAAAACAUUGUUUAUAGAAAAAAAAAUUAUAAAUAAAUCCUGCCCAGUGAAUUCUUAAACGGCCGCGAUCACACGUGCAAAGGUAGCAUAAUCAAUUGUCCUUUAAUUGUGGACUAGAAUGAAUGGAUAAAUAAAACUUAAACUAUUCAAUUUUUACAAAUAUAAAUUUACCUUUAGAUGAAAAGGUCUAAAUAUAAAUAAAAGACCAGAAGACCCUAUAGAGCUUUUUCUUAAAAUAAUAAUUUUAUUACAUAUAAGAUUUGGUUGGGGCAACCUAGGAUAAAUCUUCCUAUCUAAGUAAUGAAAUAUAAAUAAUUUCUUAAAUAAUAAAAUAUAAGCUACCUUAGGGAUAACAGGCUAAUCUUAUUUUAUAGUUCACAUACACAAUAUGGUUUAGCACCUCGAUGUUGGCUUGAGGUAUCUUUUAAAUGGAGAAGUUUAAAAUAGUAGGCUUGUUCAGCCUUUAAAACCUCACGUGAUCUGAGUUCAGACCGG
Molecule: ribosomal RNA, 510 nt
Filed under: Parougia cf. batia NY-2017
Lineage: Eukaryota; Metazoa; Annelida; Polychaeta; Eunicida; Dorvilleidae
Description: partial 16S ribosomal RNA
Rfam family: Bacterial large subunit ribosomal RNA
Source: RNAcentral